Molecule: ribosomal RNA, 533 nt
Filed under: uncultured bacterium
Lineage: Bacteria
Description: bacterial SSU rRNA
Rfam family: Bacterial small subunit ribosomal RNA
Source: RNAcentral
CCCGUGCCUUGGCCUAGGUCUACGCGUAGAGUUGAUUGAUGUGUCAGGAUGAACGCUGGCGGCGUGCUUAACACAUGCAAGUCAACGGGGUUUAAGAAGGAAGCUUGCUUUCAUUUUAAACCUAGUGGCGGACGGGUGAGUAACGCGUGAGGAACCUGCCCUUCAUGGGGAACAACAACUAGAAAUGGUUGCUAAUACCGCAUAAUGUCGGAGAGCCGCAUGACUUUCCGACCAAAGGAUUUAUUCGCUGAAGGAUGGCCUCGCGUCCGAUUAGAUAGUUGGUGAGGUAACGGCCCACCAAGUCUACGAUCGGUAGCCGAACUGAGAGGUUGAUCGGCCACAUUGGGACUGAGACACGGCCCAGACUCCUACGGGAGGCAGCAGUGGGGAAUAUUGGGCAAUGGGCCGAAAGCCUGACCCAGCAACGCCGCGUGAAGGAUGACGGUCUUCGGAUUGUAAACUUCUUUAAUUGGGGAAGAACAAAAUGACCUACCCAAAGAAUAAGUCACGGCUAACUACGUGCCAGCCGCCGC